Molecule: ribosomal RNA, 319 nt
Filed under: Parachromis dovii (guapote)
Lineage: Eukaryota; Metazoa; Chordata; Actinopteri; Cichliformes; Cichlidae
Description: partial large subunit ribosomal RNA
Rfam family: Bacterial large subunit ribosomal RNA
Source: RNAcentral
UAGGCACCAGAACAGACUACGUUAAGCACCCUAAUACAAAAGACAAAACUAACUAGACCCUGUCCUAAUGCCUUUGGUUGGGGCGACCGCGGGGAAACAAAAAACCCCCACGUGGACUAAGAGCACCCCCACUCUUACAACCAAGGGCCACAGCCCUAAGUAACAGAACCUCUGACCCUAAAUGAUCCGGUAGAACCGAUCAACGAACCGAGUUACCCUAGGGAUAACAGCGCAAUCCCCUUCUAGAGUCCAUAUCGACAAGGGGGUUUACGACCUCGAUGUUGGAUCAGGACAUCCUAUUGGUGCAGCCGCUAUUAAG